Molecule: ribosomal RNA, 330 nt
Filed under: uncultured eukaryote
Lineage: Eukaryota
Description: partial 18S ribosomal RNA
Rfam family: Eukaryotic small subunit ribosomal RNA
Source: RNAcentral
CCCUUAGAUGUUCUGGGCCGCACGCGUGCUACACUGAUGCAUUCAACGAGUCUAAAACCUGGUCUGAUAGGGCUGGGUAAUCUUUUGAAAGUGCAUCGUGAUUGGGAUAGAUGAUUGCAAUUCUUCAUCUUCAACGAGGAAUGCCUAGUAAACGCAAGUCAUCAGCUUGCAUUGAUUACGUCCCUGCCCUUUGUACACACCGCCCGUCGCUCCUACCGAUUGAAUGAUCCGAUGAAUACCAUGGAUUGAGAGUACGAAUAGGUUCGCUUAUUUCUGCUGCUUGAGAAGUGGAGUAAAUCUUAUCAUUUAGAGGAAGGAGAAGUCGUAACA